ACGAACGCUGGCGGCGUGCUUCACACAUGCAAGUCGCACGGAAAGGCCCUGCUUGCAGGGUACUCGAGUGGCGAACGGGUGAGUAACACGUGGGUGAUCUGCCCUGCACUUCGGGAUAAGCCUGGGAAACUGGGUCUAAUACCGGAUAGGAGCCAUUUUUAGUGUGAUGGUUGGAAAGUUUUUUCGGUGUAGGAUGAGCUCGCGGCCUAUCAGCUUGUUGGUGGGGUAAUGGCCUACCAAGGCGGCGACGGGUAGCCGGCCUGAGAGGGUGGACGGCCACAUUGGGACUGAGAUACGGCCCAGACUCCUACGGGAGGCAGCAGUGGGGAAUAUUGCACAAUGGGCGCAAGCCUGAUGCAGCGACGCCGCGUGGGGGAUGACGGCCUUCGGGUUGUAAACUCCUUUCGCUAGGGACGAAGCUUUUUGUGACGGUACCUAGAGAAGAAGCACCGGCUAACUACGUG
Molecule: ribosomal RNA, 464 nt
Filed under: uncultured bacterium
Lineage: Bacteria
Description: partial 16S ribosomal RNA
Rfam family: Bacterial small subunit ribosomal RNA
Source: RNAcentral